UGGGGAAUUUUGGACAAUGGGCGAAAGCCUGAUCCAGCAAUGCCGCGUGUGUGAAGAAGGCCUUCGGGUUGUAAAGCACUUUUGUCCGGAAAGAAAUCCUUGGCUCUAAUACAGUCAGGGGAUGACGGUACCGGAAGAAUAAGCACCGGCUAACUACGUGCCAGCAGCCGCGGUAAUACGUAGGGUGCAAGCGUUAAUCGGAAUUACUGGGCGUAAAGCGUGCGCAGGCGGUUUGCUAAGACCGAUGUGAAAUCCCCGGGCUCAACCUGGGAACUGCAUUGGUGACUGGCAGGCUAGAGUAUGGCAGAGGGGGGUAGAAUUCCACGUGUAGCAGUGAGAUGCGUAGAGAUGUGGAGGAAUACCGAUGGCGAAGGCAGCCCCCUGGGCCAAUACUGACGCUCAUGCACGAAAGCGUGGGGAGCAAACAGGAUUAGAUACCCUGGUAGUCCACGCCCUAAACGAUGUCAACUAGUUGUUGGGGAUUCAUUUCCUUAGUAACGUAGCUAACGCGUGAAGUUGACCGCCUGGGGAGUACGGUCGCAAGAUUAAAACUCAAAUGAAUUGACGGGGUCAUA
Molecule: ribosomal RNA, 575 nt
Filed under: uncultured bacterium
Lineage: Bacteria
Description: partial 16S ribosomal RNA
Rfam family: Bacterial small subunit ribosomal RNA
Source: RNAcentral